RNAcentral lists this ribosomal RNA (1501 nucleotides) under uncultured bacterium. RNAcentral describes it as "16S ribosomal RNA". It matches the Rfam family "Bacterial small subunit ribosomal RNA". The record is from RNAcentral.
GAGUUUGAUCAUGGCUCAGGAUGAACGCUGGCGGCGUGCUUAACACAUGCAAGUCGAACGGUGAACCAGGAGCUUGCUCUUGGGGAUCAGUGGCGAACGGGUGAGUAACACGUGAGCAACCUGCCCCUGACUCUGGGAUAAGCGCUGGAAACGGCGUCUAAUACUGGAUACGAACCACGAAGGCAUCUUCAGUGGUUGGAAAGAUUUUUUGGUUGGGGAUGGGCUCGCGGCCUAUCAGCUUGUUGGUGAGGUAAUGGCUCACCAAGGCGUCGACGGGUAACCGGCCUGAGAGGGUGACCGGCCACACUGGGACUGAGACACGGCCCAGACUCCUACGGGAGGCAGCAGUGGGGAAUAUUGGACAAUGGGCGAAAGCCUGAUCCAGCCAUGCCGCGUGUGUGAAGAAGGUCUUCGGAUUGUAAAGCACUUUAAGUUGGGAGGAAGGGCCAUUACCUAAUACGUGAUGGUUUUGACGUUACCGACAGAAUAAGCACCGGCUAACUCUGUGCCAGCAGCCGCGGUAAUACAGAGGGUGCAAGCGUUAAUCGGAAUUACUGGGCGUAAAGCGCGCGUAGGUGGUUUGUUAAAGUUGGAUGUGAAAUCCCCGGGCUCAACCUGGGAACUGCAUUCAAAACUGACUGACUAGAGUAUGGUAGAGGGUGGUGGAUUUUCCUGUGUAGCGGUGAAAUGCGUAGAUAUAGGAAGGAACACCAGUGGCGAAGGCGACCCCUUGGACUGAUACUGACCUUGAGGUGCGAAAGCGUGGGAACAAACAGGAUUAAAUACCCUGGUAGUCCACCCAUAACGAUUCAACUAGCCCUGGGAACCUUGAGCUCUUAGUGGCGCAGCUAACGCAUUAAGUUGACCGCCUGGGGAGUACGGCCGCAAGGUUAAAACUCAAAUGAAUUGACGGGGGCCCGCACAAGCGGUGGAGCAUGUGGUUUAAUUCGAAGCAACGCGAAGAACCUUACCAGGCCUUGACAUCCAAUGAACUUUCUAGAGAUAGAUUGGUGCCUUCGGGAACAUUGAGACAGGUGCUGCAUGGCUGUCGUCAGCUCGUGUCGUGAGAUGUUGGGUUAAGUCCCGCAACGAGCGCAACCCUUUUCCUUAUUUGCCAGCGGGUUAAGCCGGGAACUUUAAGGAUACUGCCAGUGACAAACUGGAGGAAGGCGGGGACGACGUCAAGUCAUCAUGGCCCUUACGACCAGGGCUACACACGUGCUACAAUGGUCGGUACAAAGGGUUGCUACUCCGCGAGGAGAUGCUAAUCUCAAAAAGCCGAUCGUAGUCCGGAUCGCAGUCUGCAACUCGACUGCGUGAAGUCGGAAUCGCUAGUAAUCGCGGAUCAGAAUGCCGCGGUGAAUACGUUCCCGGGCCUUGUACACACCGCCCGUCACACCAUGGGAGUUUGUUGCACCAGAAGUAGGUAGUCUAACCGUAAGGAGGACGCUUACCACGGUGUGGCCGACGACUGGGGUGAAGUCGUAACAAGGUAACCGUA